UGUUCGAACCUUUUUUGGGACAAGGUGAAUUUUGAAGUCUAGUGUCUAGACAGGAAAGUGAAAGAGGAAACAAGUGGUAUAAUCCUGUGUCUCCAAGUGGCUCAGGGGAUAAGAAGACUGACUGGGACUCCUAAGGUCAUAGGUUCAAGUCCUACCUUGCCCACUUCUAUUUUGAAGGUCUAGAGUCUACAAAGUACAGUGAUAUAUGAAAAAAAAACACAUUUCUCUUGUGUGUCCACAUGAGUCACGGGAUAAGGAGACUGACUGGUACUCCUGAGGUGGUGUGUUCCAGCCUUUUUUGGGACAAGGUGAAUUUUGAAGUCUAGUGUCAAGACAGUAAAGUGAAAGAGGAAACAAGUGGUAUACUCCUGUGUCUCCAAGUGGCUCAGGGGAUAAGAACACUGACUGGAACUCCUGAGGUCACAGGUUCGAGUCCAACCUUGCCCACUUCUUGGUGAAUUUUGAAGGUCUAGAGUCUAUAAAGUACAGUGAUAUAUGAAAAAAAACACAUUUCUCUUGUGUGUCCACAUGGCUCACGGGAUAAGGAGACUGACUGGUACUCCUGAGGUGGUGUGUUCGAGCCUUUUUUGGGACAAGGUGAAUUUUGAAGUCUAGUGUCUAGACAUGAAAUUGAAAGAGGAAACAAAUGGUAUAAUCAUGUGUGUCCAAGUGGCUCAGGGGAUGAGAACACUGACUGGAACUCGUGAGGUCACAGGUUCGAGUCCAACCUUGCCCACUUCUUGGUGAAUUUUGAAGGUCUAGAGACUAAAAAGUACAGCGAUAUGUGAAAAAAAAAACACAUUUCUCUUGUGUGUCCACAUGGCUCACGGGAUAAGGAGACUGACUGGUACUCCUGAGGUGGAGUGUUCCAACCUUUUUUGGGACAAGGUGAAUUUUGAAGUCUAGUGUCUAGACAAGAAAGUGAAAGAGGAAACAAGUGGUAUAAUCCUGUAUGUCCAAGUGGCUCAGAUGAUAAGUACACUGACUGGAACUCUUGAGGUCAUAGGUUCGAGUCCUACGUUACCUAGUUUUUGGUGAAUUUUAAAGUCUUGAGUCCACAAAGGACAGCGAUAUGUGAAAAAAAACCUGAUUGUCUUGUGUGCCAACAUGGCUCACGGGAUAAGGAGACUGGCUGGUACUCCUGAGGUGGUGUGUUCGAGCCUUUUUUGGGACAAGGUGAAUUUUGAAGUCUAGUGUCUAGACAGUAAAGUGAAAGAGGAAACAAAUGGUAUAAUCCUGUGUGUCCAAGUGGCUCAGGGGAUAAGAACACUGACUGGAACUCCUGAGGUCACAGGUUCGAGUCCAACCUUGCCCACUUCUUGGUGAAUUUUGAAGGUCUAGAGUCUAAAAAGUACAGUGAUAUAUGAAAAAAAACAUAAUUGUCUUGUGUGUCCACAUGGCUCACGGGAUAAGGAGACUGACUGGUACUCCUGAGGUGGUGUGUUUGAGCCUUUUUUGGGACAAGGUGAAUUUUGAAGUCUAGUGUCUAGACAGGAAAGUGAAAGAGGAAAGAAGUGGUAUAAUCCUGUGUCUCCAAGUGGCUCAGGGGAUAAGAAGACUGACUGGGACUCCUGAGGUCAUAGGUUCAAGUCCUACCUUGCCCACUUCUAUUUUGAAGGUCUAGAGUCUACAAAGUACAGUGAUAUAUGUAAAAAAAACAUGAUUGUCUCGUGUGUCCACAUGAGUCAGUGG
RNAcentral lists this long non-coding RNA (1692 nucleotides) under Xyrichtys novacula (pearly razorfish). The record is from RNAcentral. Lineage: Eukaryota; Metazoa; Chordata; Actinopteri; Labriformes; Labridae.